This 625-nucleotide ribosomal RNA is filed under the name uncultured euryarchaeote. RNAcentral's name for it is "bacterial SSU rRNA". It matches the Rfam family "Archaeal small subunit ribosomal RNA", at positions 19 to 652 of the family's 1478-position model. The record is from RNAcentral. Lineage: Archaea; Methanobacteriati; Methanobacteriota.
UUUGGCCACCGUUUCGGUGUCCGAUUUAGCCUGCGAGUUGUACGUCUAACGUAGCGAACGGCUCAGUAACACGUGGCCAAGCUACCCUGUGGACCGCCAUAACCUCGGGAAACUGAGGCUAAUAGCGGAUAUCGCUCCCGCGCUGGAAUGCGGGGAGCGUGAAAGGCUCCGGCGCCACAGGAUGCGGCUGCGGCCGAUUAGGUAGACGGUGGGGUAACGGCCCACCGUGCCGAUAAUCGGUACGGGUUGUGAGAGCAAGAGCCCGGAGACGGACUCUGAGACAAGAGUCCGGGCCCUACGGGGCGCAGCAGGCGCGAAACCUUUACACUGCACGCCAGUGCGAUAGGGGGACACCGAGUGCGAGGGCAUAGAGCCCUCGCUUUUGUGUACCGUAAGGUGGUACACGAAUAAGGGCUGGGCAAGACCGGUGCCAGCCGCCGCGGUAACACCGGCAGCCCAAGUGAUGGCCGCUAUUAUUGGGCCUAAAGCGUCCGUAGCCGGCCGGGCAGGUCCGUCGGGAAAUCCACUGGCUCAACCAGUGGGCGUCCGGCGGAAACCGCUCGGCUUGGGACCGGAAGACCAGAGGGGUACGUUCGGGGUAGGAGUGAAAUCCCGUAAUCCUGGA